GAUGAAGAACGCAGCGAAAUGCGAUAAGUAAUGCGAAUUGCAGAAUUUCCGUGAGUCAUCGAAUCUUUGAACGCACAUUGCGCCCACUGGUAUUCCGGUGGGCAUGCCUGUUCGAGCGUCAUUAUCCUCCCUCAAACCCGGGUUUGGUGUUGGACCCAAGUUGUGUGAACAACUGGUCUCAAAGACAAUGACGGCGUCCGUGGGACCCUCGGUGCAACGAGCUUUUAGGAGCACGCAUCGAGUUGCAAGGACCUUCCGGGCCGGUCUCCUUUACCAUUUUACAAGGUUGACCUCGGAUCAGGUAGGAAUACCCGCUGAACUUAAGCAUAUCAAUAAGCGGAGGA
This 344-nucleotide unclassified non-coding RNA is filed under the name soil metagenome. RNAcentral describes it as "partial contains 5.8S ribosomal RNA, internal transcribed spacer 2, and large subunit ribosomal RNA". The stretch from base 1 to 121 matches the Rfam family "5.8S ribosomal RNA", at positions 35 to 154 of the family's 154-position model. The record is from RNAcentral.